GCUUUGUUAAACAAGUGCUUGAAGGCAGUAUGCUUGGUAAAAGUCAUCGCCAUUCUCUAAUCUUGAGUACCCAGGGACACGAUACACUGCGGAAGGCUGCAGGGACCUCUGCCCAGGAAAGCCAGGCUUGCAUGAAGGAAAUGAUUUCCUAUGAUUCUGCUUACUGCUUAAAAAAAUUAAUCAAGUUUUCUGCCUGACAAGUGGUUUCCAAAAGGAAAAGCUUUGGGAGAUAGAAGUCCUCGUUUUGACCUCUGCCCUCCUUGUACACCAGGAGCCAGAAAAACUUCAUCUCUUUUACAAGAAACAUUGAGAUUCCUGUAAAAUUAAGAAAUCACACAAUUUGAUGGUCUACAUUAUCUAAAGCAAAUGAGACUUCUAUUUGGAACAAAGACUACCUUGUUGGGAAAUGAGUCUGCAAGUUAAAGUGUUUUCUGGGAUCACUCUAAGCUCCAGUGUCAAGGAGUCAAGUCCUUCAGGAAUUCUCUGCCUCCACUCCCUGUGGCAGAGCUAGAGUGGCUGCCAUGCUUCUGAGCUCAGCCAGCAUCCAGAGAGAGAGUGAGAUACAGCCUCCUCUUCUUGAAGCACCCACUUCUAAACUCUGUGACAGUUUUCUUGGAACUCUGUUAUGUGGAUCUGGAGAUGACAAUGUCACAGCACUCCCCUCUAAGCCUAAAUUCCCCCACACCGAUGAACUAUUAGGAUCCAGUAUCUGCCGGAGGAGCCCCACCUUCUGCUACUAUUAUGUUCUUCAGAUGAGUAGAAGAGAGUGGGGAGGGAGAGAGCAGGAAGAAGAAAGGAAGAAUAAUGUCUUGAAAUUGUUUUCUAAGGAUAAUGGUCUCCAGCUUCGUCAAUGUUCCUGCAAAGGACAUGAUGCUGACUUUGAAGAUGCAAGCUUCCACAUCUACAGCCUCAAGGAAACAAAUUCAGCCAACCAACUGAGGGAGCUUUCCUUGUCCUGCCUCAAGAUGAGAUCACAGUCUGCCCAACACCAUGAUUUAGGCCUUGUGACACCUGGUAUGGAAGACCCAGUUAAGUUCUCUCCAAACUCUUGACCCACAGAACCUGUGAGAAAAUAUAUGGAUAUUAUUUUAAACUGCUAAAUUUGUAGUAAUUUGUUAUGCAGCAAUAAAAAAAACUAAUGCAAGGAGAUAUCAAUUAUUGUAAAAAGCUUAGCUUUUGUUUUAAAAUAUAGUUCACCAGUAGUAAGUUACUAAUAAGUAACUAAACAAAUAAAAGCAAGCCAUUUACAAAUCAAUAAUAAGAGUAAGUCAUGAACUAAAGAUUGUAAUUAAUCAAUUUCUGUACGCCUGUAAUGAAAAUAAAGGAGGAAAAGAAAAUGAAAGAAAA
Homo sapiens (human) is the source of this 1347-nucleotide long non-coding RNA. Ensembl annotates it as HIF1A stabilizing long noncoding RNA. Its record names the gene HISLA. The record is from Ensembl. Lineage: Eukaryota; Metazoa; Chordata; Mammalia; Primates; Hominidae.